AGAGUUUGAUCCUGGCUCAGGAUGAACGCCCUCGACAGGCUUAACACAUGCAAGUCGAGGGGCAGCGGGGGCGUAGCAAUAUGCCUGCCGGCGACCGGCGCACGGGUGAGUAACACGUAUGUAACCUGCCCUAUGCAGGGGGAUAACCCGGAGAAAUCCGGCCUAAUACCGCGUAACACCUUAGGGGAGCAUUCUCUUGAGGUUAAAGGAGAGAUCCGGCAUAGGAUGGACAUGCGUCGCAUUAGGUAGACGGCGGGGUAACGGCCCACCGUGCCGACGAUGCGUAGGGGUUCUGAGAGGAAGGCCCCCCACACUGGUACUGAGACACGGACCAGACUCCUACGGGAGGCAGCAGUGAGGAAUAUUGGUCAAUGGCCGAGAGGCUGAACCAGCCAAGUCGCGUGAGGGAAGAAUGUCCUAAGGAUUGUAAACCUCUUUUGUCGGGGAGCAAAAAGGCUCUGCGGAGUCGUAUUGAGAGUACCCGAAGAAAAAGCAUCGGCUAACUCCGUGCCAGCAGCCGCGGUAAUACGGAGGAUGCGAGCGUUAUCCGGAUUUAUUGGGUUUAAAGGGUGCGCAGGCGGCGUGUCAAGCAAGCGGUAAAAUAGCGGGGCUCAACCCCGUCGAGCCGUUUGAACUGGCGCGCUUGAGUUCAGGCGAGGUAGGCGGAAUUCGUGGUGUAGCGGUGAAAUGCAUAGAUAUCACGAAGAACUCCGAUUGCGAAGGCAGCUUACCAGUCUGCGACUGACGCUCAGGCACGAAAGUGUGGGUAUCGAACAGGAUUAGAUACCCUGGUAGUCCACACAGUAAACGAUGAGCGCUAGGUGUCCGGGUCGCAUGAGACUUGGGUGCCCGAGCGAAAGCGUUAAGCGCUCCACCUGGGGAGUACGCCGGCAACGGUGAAACUCAAAGGAAUUGACGGGGGCCCGCACAAGCGGAGGAACAUGUGGUUUAAUUCGAUGAUACGCGAGGAACCUUACCCGGGCUCAAACGACUCAGGAAUAUAUUGGAAACGAUGUAGCCAGCAAUGGUCUGAGUCGAGGUGCUGCAUGGUUGUCGUCAGCUCGUGCCGUGAGGUGUCGGCUUAAGUGCCAUAACGAGCGCAACCCCUACCGACAGUUGCUAACAGGUCAAGCUGAGGACUCUGUCGAGACUGCCGGCGCAAGCUGUGAGGAAGGCGGGGAUGACGUCAAAUCAGCACGGCCCUUACGUCCGGGGCGACACACGUGUUACAAUGGCGGGGACAGCGGGAAGCCACCUGGCGACAGGGAGCGGAACCCGAAACCCCGUCUCAGUUCGGAUUGGAGUCUGCAACCCGACUCCAUGAAGCUGGAUUCGCUAGUAAUCGCGCAUCAGCCACGGCGCGGUGAAUACGUUCCCGGGCCUUGCACACACCGCCCGUCAAG
This 1403-nucleotide ribosomal RNA is filed under the name uncultured bacterium. RNAcentral describes it as "bacterial SSU rRNA". It matches the Rfam family "Bacterial small subunit ribosomal RNA". The record is from RNAcentral.